GACGAACGCUGGCGGCGUGCUUAACACAUGCAAGUCGAACGGAAAGGCCCUGCUUUUGUGGGGUGCUCGAGUGGCGAACGGGUGAGUAACACGUGAGUAACCUGCCCUUGACUUUGGGAUAACUUCAGGAAACUGGGGCUAAUACCGGAUAGGAGCUCCUGCUGCAUGGUGGGGGUUGGAAAGUUUCGGCGGUUGGGGAUGGACUCGCGGCUUAUCAGCUUGUUGGUGGGGUAGUGGCUUACCAAGGCUUUGACGGGUAGCCGGCCUGAGAGGGUGACCGGCCACAUUGGGACUGAGAUACGGCCCAGACUCCAACGGGAGGCAGCAGUGGGGAGUAUUGCACAAUGGGCGGAAGCCUGAUGCAGCAACGCCGCGUGCGGGAUGACGGCCUUCGGGUUGUAAACCGCUUUCGCCUGUGACGAAGCGUGAGUGACGGUAAUGGGUAAAGAAGCACCGGCUAACUACGUG
Molecule: ribosomal RNA, 468 nt
Filed under: uncultured bacterium
Lineage: Bacteria
Description: partial 16S ribosomal RNA
Rfam family: Bacterial small subunit ribosomal RNA
Source: RNAcentral